UUGGGUGUCAACCCGCACGCGUAAUGAAAGUGAACGUAGGUGAGAGCUUCGGCGCAUCAUCGACCGAUCCUGAUGUAUUCGGAUGGAUUUGAGUAGGAGCGUUAAGCCUUGGACCCGAAAGAUGGUGAACUAUGCUUGGAUAGGGUGAAGCCAGAGGAAACUCUGGUGGAGGCUCGCAGCGGUUCUGACGUGCAAAUCGAUCGUCAAAUCUGAGCAUGGGGGCGAAAGACUAAUCGAACCAUCUAGUAGCUGGUUACCGCCGAAGUUUCCCUCAGGAUAGCAGUGUUGUUCUCAGUUUUAUGAGGUAAAGCGAAUGAUUAGGGACUCGGGGGCGCUUUUUAGCCUUCAUCCAUUCUCAAACUUUAAAUAUGUAAGAAGCCCUUGUUACUUAAUUGAACGUGGGCAUUCGAAUGUACCAACACUAGUGGGCCAUUUUUGGUAAGCAGAACUGGCGAUGCGGGAUGAACCGAACGCGAGGUUAAGGUGCCGGAGUGGACGCUCAUCAGACACCACAAAAGGCGUUAGUACAUCUUGACAGCAGGACGGUGGCCAUGGAAGUCGGAAUCCGCUAAGGACUGUGUAACAACUCACCUGCCGAAUGUACUAGCCCUGAAAAUGGAUGGCGCUCAAGCGUCCCACCCAUACCUCGCCCUCAGGGUAGAAACGAUGCCCUGAGGAGUAGGCGGCCGUGGAGGUCAGUGACGAAGCCUAGGGCGUGAGCCC
RNAcentral lists this ribosomal RNA (723 nucleotides) under fungal sp. I15F-00385. RNAcentral describes it as "LSU rRNA". It matches the Rfam family "Eukaryotic large subunit ribosomal RNA", at positions 694 to 1424 of the family's 3401-position model. Lineage: Eukaryota; Fungi. The record is from RNAcentral.